Non-coding RNA from Bactrocera oleae (olive fruit fly), 10992 nucleotides. Lineage: Eukaryota; Metazoa; Arthropoda; Insecta; Diptera; Tephritidae. The record is from RefSeq and is a predicted model, not a curated record.
AAGAGAAAAAUCAGCAUUCAGUAAAAUGCGCUUUCCGUCAACUCUCUUUGUUUUCUCUCUAAAUUGCAGCUAAAGAAAAAGCAGCGAUAAAGCGAUUUGAAUUUCAGUACAAUUUGAGCGCGCGUGAAAGUGGGUUGAAUAGUAUUAGAUUUGGUAAAACUUGAGUUGAAUUAUUUGAAACAAUUGUUGAAUUAUUUAUGAAAACAAAUAUUUCCUGUACAAGAUUUCUUGUCACACUACUAAUGAAUUAACAAAUACUGAAAUGAAAAAAAACUACGUAAGUAAACAAAGUUAAAUAUAUAUGUAGUUACGCUUAGUGUUGAAAAUUCUUAGUCACUGCUAAUUCCAUGACUACAUGGAAUAAAUGCAAAUUCUAUAAACAAAUCAAACGGAAAUUGACUUGAAUCGCGUAAAAUAUAAUGUAAACACACCGAAAGACGCGUUGAGAAAUCCGCGAUCCAGGAAAUAGUGGACGUGAGGCAAAAAUGCACUACGCAAGUUGUUAAAAUAGAAGAAACAACAAGCAAGUUAAACGCAAUCAGAACUAAACCAAUAAAAAGGCAAAUAAGGGUAUAAUGUCAUGUGUGUAAACAAGCUCCAAAGCAAAACGACAUCAACAACACAAAAAGCAUUUCUGCACAAUCGCACAACAGCAAAAAAAACAUAAGUAUCUGUGCACGGAGCAAUAACCGCUGCUAAGUAGCCAAUUUGUGGGUGGUAGAGUGUAAAAUAAUCGCGUCUGCUGAAUAUAGUGCUUGGUGCACAUCAAACAGCGACAGAAAUAGUAGUCGACAUAAGAUAUACUUAAGUGGAUUCACACUCGCAUUACGCGUCACUCACCGGCUGCUUCAGCGGAUGCAUCAACACAUCAGAGGGCAACGAACUGUUGAUUGGAAUACAUUGAUUGCGCUAACUCCCCAGUUGCAAACAAUAAAUGAAAUGGCGCUAUUAAAAUUGGCUAGGUGAGUAACUAGAAAGACACCUGAGGACCUAUGAAUCAAAAUAUGUAAUGAAAUAAUCCCAAUUACUAAUACACAUGUAAGUACAAAAGUGUUCAAUUGGCACGAUUACGAUUUCUUUGGUGUGUUAAACAUAGUGAUAUACCGUGCAUAACUUAUGCAACUUUUGAACUUUAAAUACAAAUAUCUCGAAAACAAUAAGUCUGAAACGGGUAUACAUAUGUAAAUACAUACAUAUUUUAAUCCUGAAAACCUCCUCUAUCAUGCAACAUAAGUGCAGUUUUCUACUUGUCCACCACUAUAUACAUACAUAUGCUAACGUGCUUUUAGGUGUAUCUGCACUUAUUUCUGUUUUUCAAUAUCAUUCAUGUAAUUUUACUUGUGUAUGUACGUAAGUCAUGGAACGUGACUGCUUGCACAUGCACCAUAGCAACCCAUACCAUUAUCAGAAUUAUAGUUCCAUUAGCCGGCACUAACAACUUCAAGCCGAUCGAUCUUUUCACAAACUUCUUUGCAGCAGCUUGGCAGCAUUCUCUUUGUUUGAAAACUUUUUUUUCUGUCAAGCUAGACUUCUGCAUUUCUAGGAUAGGAAAUUAGGUAGUGCAGUAAAAAUUCACCAUUCUAAGAAUUGGAAUAUUCCUCAAUACAGGUCUAUGGCUUCUCUGAAGGUAACGACUCCUUCCUUCGUCGUAUUUUGCAAGUACAGUGGUCGCCCAAUAUAUCGAUUCUUAUUUUGUACACCUACAGUGAGCCAAAAAAAACUUGUACAGCGAGAUGGUUUGUCUUUGAAGUGACUUAUUUUCUAAACUAUUAAAACUUUUGAGUUACAUCAAAAAGUGAGAAAAGUGCCGUUUUAAUAAUUUUCAUGAUGUAAUUGAAAUAGAUUUUUAAAAAUCCAGUUUUCUACAAAAAAUUAAAAAAUCCAAAAUUACUUCAUUUUCGAAGACCGAAAAAAACUUGUACAGUUUGCAUAAAUGGACAUUUUUACACUCUAUAAAGAUAAUUGAUACAUUAUAGUAUGUAUAUAUUGUACUGUUAUUCAUAGAAUACACCAAACUCUGUGUAAGUUCAAAAGAUUUGACCACAUUUCCUAAAGAGCAGCCAUAACCUCAUUUUUGCUAUAAACUUUGUCCUCUCGUAACUUCCUCUCCACAUACGGUGUUAAAAGGGAUUAAAGUCUUGACUCUAUGGAGAAUGUGGCAGCACUUUUUUCACGUCGUACGUACCAUUCCUUAACCACCAAAGCAGAAUACAUCGGGUAGUUAUCCUGCAUAAAGCAGUAGCCUCCAUUUAAAUUCGGCUUAGCUGUUGACGAAGUCAAAUUAUUUUUUUUUAAUAUUACCUAGUAUUUCAUUCUUUACAUAAUUCCAUGGAAUGCACCACACAAUGAAGCCUGCUGACAGACUUAAGUAUGUAUUUAAUUUUUUUUUGUUGUUGCCAUACAAAUCGACGACCAUCAUCCACGGUCCAAAUACAUAUUUACAUAUGUAAGUACAUUGGGAGGAGCAAAAACAAUUUUUUUUUUAAUAAGUCUGGGUGUAAAAAAAAAAAUAUAUUGUUUUAAUGUAGUUAUAUUAAAUUUCGACUCAUAGGUGAAAAUAACUUUAAAUACUUUAUAUAAAAACCAAUUUAUUUGAUAUUCUUUACAAAACAUUAGGCAUGUAGUUUUUCGGAAAUAAAAGUGAAUAUAUAGUGCAAAUAUAUACAGUGUCGGGCAAAACUAAAGCACGAAGUUCACCUUGUAAAUAUUUCAUUAAAAACAAAAUGUAAAAUUUAUUAUUUUUUUAUGAAUAUAGUAGUUUUUAUGAAUAUAGUAGUUUUAUAUGUUUAAAACAAAAAUUUAACAAAUAAGAUUUUGACAUACAAAAAUUUCGCAUAAUAUGUAUAUUUGCUGCGACAAAACUAAGGCACUAAACUGUAUUUACUUAUUUAUUGACCCUAAUUUCAUCAAGUCCCGUUAAAACUCCAACUAUAGUUAAAAAAGUUUAAAUAUCUACCUAUAUUUUACUUGUUUUCUUUGAAUCGAUUAGUUUAUUUAACGAUUUUUAGGUUGUUACUUGCCGUUAUUUUAAGACCGUGUUGGAGUAAUUUUAAUACAAUUACAUUAGUCAUUUGUGAUCAACCGAUAGUGUUGCUUCGUAAUAAAAACAAAAUAUUAGUAAAAGGCGCGUAAUAAGUAUUCAGUACUAUAUAAGGAAAACAUUAUUAGCGAUUUUGAAAACGAAUUAUAAGUCGUUUUCGUUCUUCGGGCUGUCUAACCACAUUUCAUGGAGAUGGCAGACCUCAUAAAACUACUAGCCGUGAGGAUAUGGUGAGCUCCACAAAAAGAGAUCUUUUAAUGUCAGCUAGAUCAGUCCAGAGCGAAUUGGGCUUGAGUAUUUCAUACAGGUCCACCCAUCGACGAUCUGUAGAAAAUAACUUUAUAACAUGCAGAAGUGCCAAAAAUCCUUACAUUUCGCACAAAAAUCGAAAAGCUCGGCUUAAAUUUGCAAACGCUCACGCUAACUGGAGGAUUACAAAAUAUAGGAGUGUACUUUUUUCUGAUGAGUCUAAGUACAAUAUUAAUGAAUCUGAUUGAUUACAGCUGGUACGAAGACCAAAAGGUCAACGUUUGAAUCCGCGUUAUUCACAAGGUACUGUGAAGCAUGAAGGAGGUAAGAUGUUUCUCAGGUCAUGGAGUAGGUCUGAUCCAUCAAAUUAAUGGCAUAAUGGAUCGUUUUAUGUACAAAAACAUCCUUCAAAAUGUUAUGCUUCCUUAUGCUGAAGUGGAAAUGCCGUUAAAAUGAAACUACCAACACGAUAAGGAUCUGAAGCACACGGCCAAAUGUGUAAAGAAUUGGUUUAUUUCCAAUAAAAUAGUAGUUUUGAAGUGGCCCGCGCAAUCACCUGAUCUCAAUCCCAUAGAGGACCUAUGGAUAAUUGUAGAACGGAAAAUUAAGCAGGAAAAUUGUAAAACACGGACUCUCUCUUUACCCAAGUAGCACGGAGAUGGAAAAACAUUUCUGAAGACAUUUUAAACAAUUUAAUUAAAUAUAUGCCACGCAAAUGUGAAACCGUCAUAAAAAACAAUGGAUAUGCCACCAAAUAUUUAAAACAAAUACUUUAAUUUUUUAACUAUAUGUAAUGGGCUUUAUUUAGUCGUAUCUAUGUUAUGUAUAUUGUUAAUCUUUAAGUCAUAUUAAAGUAUAAAGUGAAUUAAUAUGUUACGUUUUUUAAUACAUCAAUAAAAUUUUAUAUUUUUGUGAAAUAAAAUAAAAAAAAUAUUAAUUUUAUAACAGUAAAUAAAUUAUUUGCAGCUAAAUGGUAAUAUGAUAAAUUUCGUACUUUAGUUUUGCCCGACACUGUAUAUAAACAAAACAAUACGGUCGAAUAGAAUAUCCAUUGAAAAAAGUCUGCGUACAAGGCAGAUAAGUCGAAUAAAUUUAUUCUUCCUACGAAUCCUUAAAAUCUCAAAGUUUUAAAACUUCCGCUAAGAGUUUUGGCAGGAAUAUACAAGCUCGGAGGUUUCUGCCGAAGGGAUGUGAGCCAAUUCCUCGUGCAGUGUAUCCUCAAGCAUAUCUUUUGAGGUAAUUAUGUGUUGCCGGAUUUUACAUACCAGUGAAUCCCAUAGGCACUAUUUAGGAUUAAAAUCUGGUGAUUCUAGUGGUGUUUGAAGCUGCUUGGCAACGUUGUAGAGUAACUAAAGCUUAACUAUGUCUGCUGUACGCUUCAAGUCAUUAUCCUGUAGAAAAUAGGAGUCACUUCCAGGACCGAAUUCUACCGCUCUUUGCUUCAAAUUUAUUUUUAAGAUAUAAAGGUAUGCAUAUUUAACCAUGGUGGAGGCUAUAAAGUCCAUUUGGUCCACGCAGUUACUAGCUAUGCACCCACAUAUCAAUGCUUCUUCACCACCGUUCUUCAUAGUAUGCAUCAGGAUUUCAUUAUCGUGUGCCGGGCCCAUUAUUUGCCCUAAAGUCUUACGCCCCUUGAUUCCAAAGACCCAAAACAUGCUGUUAUCGAAAAAAAUAACUUUUUGCCAAAACUCCCAAGGCUUAUUUAAGUGCUCUUUCGCGACAAUAUUAUGCAUUUACCUAUUGACUAGCGAUAUGAAUGAGUUCUUGUGUGCAACUUGACCAUAAAACCCUGUUUUUAAACCCUGAACAGGAUAUAUUAAAAAACUUAGGAUCCCGUUGAGGCAUAAACCAUUCUAGAAAAUUUACUGUUUUUAAGGGACUUACGUACUGAUUUCGUGCGAUGCAUUUUUGAACUUUUUCCUCGAUUUUAAAUUUAUAUAUUAAACUGAAAAUUCGUUGUUUCGAAAGUUCUUUAUAGUGGACGACCAUAACCUAUACUCGCAUUUUCUAUAAUCGAAAUUAUUUCAUUUUCAUUAUAUGAAAUUAACUGCCGUUCCUCACUCUCUCUAACCUGCCAAUUAAGUUGGAAAACCAUUUGUCAUGCCCACUUGGACAUCCUUCUCAUCAACUUCUCAUAUUGAUCAAGCAAAAUCUCCGACUCUAAACAAAGAGGGUUAAUAAUUCGCAGAAAAUAAUAUUAAAUAUCACUUAAUGAACAAUUUGCGAAAUUCAUAUGCUCAAAUCACGUUCAAGAGUGUGUCACGUGUGGUUAAUGAGCCAAAGCGUAGAAUUUGCCGUUAAAGAUGCCGCCAUUAAUAAAAUAAAAAAACAUUAACGGAUUUAAGGUACAAUUUGCUAAAAAAAAAGGAAAAAAGAAAUAUGGCUGAGCACAUAUUGGUCAACAAGUUGUUCCUUGCUUCACAGUUAAGUAGAACUUUAAAACAUUAUGUAAGACAAAUAACGCCAAAAAGCCAAAUAUAAUACAUCUACUAAGACAUAAAUACUAUAUAGGUCUCAGUAUCGGCAAUUUCUUAGCGGUGUGUAUUAUCUUGAGGGUUAAGAACAGGAAAAAUUCGAUGGGGCCACAUCCGAGAACUGUGGCAUAGUAUAGUUGCUUGCGUCACAAGUGUCAUAUGAACUGCCACCAAUUUCGCAGCUGUCUCAUUUUCAUUAAACACACUCAUUUACAUAGCAACCCCGUUAGUAUAAUUGCAAGCUGUUUAAUUGUUGAGCGAGUGCUAUUCGGGCACCAAGCUGUUAACUUAAUCAGCUGGUUUCGUUUACUUAUUUUGCCGCACGAGUGUUUUAUUCUUUGCAAUGCCCUUUUUAUAUGUUUAUCUCUACAAUCCUAUUUACUUAUGAUUUUCAUUGUAAUUAUUGAAAUCUUUACAGUGUAUUCUAACGCGAAACGCUACAUGAUAUGGCCUCGCUUCGCGGUCAGUGAACUAUAUACACGUAUGUCAACAGUUGAAUGCUAAUCGUGACAAAUAAUAUUUAUUUAUGUUACACAUUCCCCAUAAUGUUACCUUUUUAUUGAUUCCUAAGUGUCAAUGUAUGGGCCUGAUAAUCAGUAGUCUUUGCAAUCCAUCAGCAAUUGAAAAUAACAGAAACCUCUUUCAAUUAGCAAAUAUUAUGCUAAGUAGGUUCUUAUCCUUUUCAUCCUCUCGUAUUUCGUAUAGACUUCAAUACUGACCUAUGUAUACGUAAAGUUUUAUUUGUAACCUACUUUCAACAUAAUCGUUAUAUUGGGCAUUGGCGUGGUUAUCAUCUGAUUUAAACUGUUUUCACAGUGCAUAAAGAAGUGUUCCAAGGACUUCUUUCUUAGCAAGUUUAGUGAAACAGCUCUAGUGGUUUGUGAAAUACUUUAACUUUUUUCUCUGUACCAAAAGCAAGUACCCUCACAAUACUUGUAGUUUAAUCAAAUUGCACUUAUCAAUAAUCAGAGAGCUUAUCGAGGUACAGUCCUCAGUAUCGAUAGUGUCAAACUAUAUGUGGUGCUCUGUGCCGUGCGUUGCGUUCGCAAUCCUAAGUAAUUAGUUUAUAAGUAAUUUUAAAAAUGCAACUCUGUCACAUAUGGUUACAAGAAUUAAUAAAGCUACUGCUCUUCCCUUUUCAUCGUCAACACUCAACCGCCUCGGACGUGCCUUUUUUCUUCCAUCCUUACAUUGACCCGAACGUUUUUUUAAAAUCAAGUUUUAUUUAAUCAAUUACGCGCACAUUUUUUAAUGAAUCCCAACGAUAGCUCGAUCGUAACGGAUGGAGGAAGCUUAGCGAAAAAUGUUUCUACGUAUAAUAUUUUGCCACGGCUUCCAUUGCCAGCGAUGUCCGAGGAUAACAUCGAGGCCUAUUUUUAUUCGCUAGACUUCUGGUUCGAAGCAUCGCAUAUUGUCAGCGACGCAGCGAAAUUUAACAUCGUGCUUGCAAGCGUUCCUUCAGCGAAGUUGAUAGAAUUGCGAACACUAAUCGAGGCUGCGCCCGCUGAUGGAAAAUACAACUACAUCCGACAGAAAUUAGUAGAGAAUCUUACGGAAAGUCAGCAGUCUUCACCGAGUCUUUAAAGAGCUUUUGCUGGGUGAUCGCCGUCCCAGUGAAUUAUACAACGAUAUGAGACGCACUGCAGAUCCAGCAUCCUGCAUGAUCUUUGGGUCAGCCGACUGCCACCCUAUACACAGGUGGCUACCAUAUCAUCGCAACGAGUGUUCCCAUCAACGAAAAACUCAAAAUUGCAGAUUCAAUCACCGAAUGUUUGGCCAUGAAGCAGGGGCAAAUUUGUGAGGUUAGCGCGGAAUUCCAGUCCUCGUGCGAUUUUUCUCGCCUACAAGCCGAAAUCGCUGUUUUGUCGAAACGUGUCAGCCGACUUUUAGAUAACGACAGGGGCCGGCGGCGCGGCAGGUCUGUAUCGCGUAACAGAUCAAUAGAUCGCAAUUCGCAUAACCCUUGCUGGUAUCAUGCCACUUUCGGCAAUAAAGCUACCAAAUGCCGUCAGCCAUGCUCACACGCACAGUCGGAGCCAGCAAAUCACUCACAAUAGGCAAGCUCAGCUAAUUCAGUAUCAGAAACAGGCAAACACUCUGAUACUAAAAGCACUUACCGACUUUGCAAUUAUGACACGACAGCCAACAUGAAGUUUUUGAUCGAUUCAGGUGCAGAUGUGUCCGUCAUUCCAAAGUCGGGAAAGUUAGCUCGAGCAUGUCCAACUUCAACAAAUUUGUUUGCCGCGAACGGUUCACCCGUUUCUAGCUAUGGAGAGGUUAGUCUCAAACUCAACCUUAAUUUACGUCGCGAAUUUCUAUGGCGCUUUAUUAUAGCCGACGUUUCGCAAGCCAUUUUGGGUGCCGACUUUCUCGGUCAUCACGGCUUAAUUAUUGACUUACAAGGUCAGCGCCUCUUAGAUCGCACAACUUUACUCAACGCACAGUGCUCAUUGACGAAACUUACAUCCGCGAGAAUUUCUACAAUCAACACAACUCAUUCUCAGAGAAUUUGCCGAAAUCACCCGUUCCACACCAUUGGGCGCUCGAACAAAGGCAUCCGUAAACCACCACAUAACCACGACCGGCCAGCCUACCAGCACGACCACGACGUCUAUCGCCAGAGAAGCUAGCAGCUGCUCGUUCGGAAUUUGAGCUGUUAAUAAAACUCGGUAUUUGUCGUCCUUCCGAUAGCAAUUGGGCCAGCCCGCUGCAUUUAGUACGCAAGGCGGACGGAUCAUGGAGGCCAUGUGGAGAUUACAGGGCUUUGAACGCCGUGACUGUGCCAGACAGAUAUCCGCUGCCGUUCCUGCAAGAUUUUUCUACAGUUUUAGCAGGUAAAAUUGUAUUUUCGAAAAUUGAAGCAUAAAGAACACCUCCGUUUAGCUUUCAACCGCUUAAAAGAAUACAACCUAACCGUCAACGUUGUCAAAUCGCAGUUUGGAGUAGCAGAACUAGAAUUUCUGGGUCAUUCGAUCACGAAAGAUGGCAUCCGUCCACUGCCUAGCCGCGUUCAAGCUUUGACGAAUUUUGAAUUGCCAACCGUCGCAAAACAGCUAAAGCGUUUUUUAGCGAUGCUCAAUUUUUAUCGCAGCUUUAGACAAUCAAGGACCACUCUUUGCAAUGAUACCAGCCAACAAGAAAAACGACAACACCAAACUGCUGUGGACCGAGAGUGCAAUCCACCACUUUAAAACGUGUAAAACCCAGCUCGCGAAUUGUGCUAUGCUAGCGCAUCCACUACCGCAUGCAGAACUCUCUCUGUGGGUAGACGCUUCGGAUUUUGCAGCCGGCGCCGUUCUGAAUCAGAUUGUUGACGGUGCUCUGCAGCCACUAGGAUUUUUUUCCACGCAAGUUUACGCCCGCAGAAACACGCUACAGCACCUAUGACUGCGAGUUGACCGCAGUUUACUUCGCGAUGCGCCACUUUCGUUACAUAGUAGAAGAUCGUGUUUGCCAUGUGUACACCGACCACAAACCACUCAUCUUUGCCUUUCACCAACACUUGCAUAAAGCUUCAGACAGACAAGCCAGACAACUGGACUUCGUAUCCCAGAUUACAACUGAUAUUCGGCAUGUUAAAGGCGAAGACAAUGUAGCAGCCGACCUGCUCUCGCGAAUACAAUCGCUCACCGCUGUUUCGAUCAACUAUGAUGAGCUUGCUGAUGACCAAGCUAAUGACGAGGAAUUAAACUCAUACUUAAACAAUACGAUUUCCCAUUCUCUUAAAUUAAGAAGUUUUGUUUUACCUUCAGGUUCGAAGAAAGUUGUUUGCGACCCUUCGACAGGCCGUAUCCGCCCUUUUAUAACAGCGAGGUUCCGUCAAGCCUUUCUUCAAGCCACACACAAUCUAUCACACCCUGGGAUGCGCGCCACUGCUAAAUUAAUGGUUGAACGUUUUGUGUGGCCGGGAAUUCAACGCGACAGUAAGUUGUUUGUUAAAAAUUGCGCUCAGUGUCAACGCAGCAAAAUCAUUCGCCACAAUAGAAGUUUGUUACAACGCAGGGAGAGCCCCAGUCAACGCUUUGGCCACUUGCACAUAGACAUAGUUGGCCCCUUUCCAUUGUCGGAGGGCAACAGAUAUUGCUUAACUUUAAUCGACCGCUUCACUUGUUGGCCAGACGCAGUACCAAUAUCUAACAUGACAGCACCAGUUGUUGCCAAGGCUUUGCUCAGUGGCUGGAUAGCCAUUGGAGUACCCAUCGACAUCACGUCCGACCUCGGUCGCCAAUUUGAGAGCGCGUUAUUCCACGAGCUCCUGCAAUGCCUUGGAGUUUCACACCUGCGAACUACACCAUAUCACCCACAGUGUAAUGGGCUGAUUGAAAGGUGGCAUUGCACACUAAAAUCCUCAAUUUUAUGUCACAACGUAGACAAAUGGACAGCCUAUCUACCAGUCAUCCUGCUGGGUCUCCGCUCAGCCUUUAAAGACGACAUCGGUUGUUCACCUGCAGAACUAGUUUAUGGAACUGUGCUUCGUUUACCGGCCGAUUUUUUCACUAGCAACGGUCGCACUUGCAACGAAACAGAGUUAGUACAAGAGUUACGACACAUCAUGAAUGAAAUUCGCCCAGUUGAUCCCGUUUGGCACUCUUCACAAAAGACAUUCGUUCACAACAGUCUCAAGUCAUGCCAUCAAGUCUUCUUUCGAGACGAUUCCAUCCGACCAUCGUUACCAGCACCCUACAAAGGACCAUUCAAGGUUAUCAAUCGUACGCCGAAAUAUUUUAUCAUCGAGGUCAACGCUAAUAGAAUUAAAGUCUCCAUCGAUCGUCUAAAGCCCGCCUUCAUCGCGCCUCCUACGACUCUUUAGGAAGGGGAUACUGUGGUGCUCUGUGCCGUGCGUUGCGUUCGCAAUCCUAAUUAAUUAGUUUAUAAGUAAUUUUAAAAAUGCAACUCUGUCACAUAUGGUUACAAAAAUUAAUAAAGCUACUGCUCUUCCCUUUUCAUAGUCAAUACUCAACCGCCUCGGACGUUCCUUUUUUCUUCCAUCCUUACAUAUAUAUUGUGAGCGAAAUUUCACUUUUGACUUGAUAAUAACGAGCCAAAGGCUAAUGUCGCGUCGAUGAAACCGGAACGAAGGCGGUUUUAUAACUGGGUAAGGCGUAUCAUUCGGCAACCCGGAAGACUUUGAAACAAUUACAUAUAAGGCAACUCGGUCUUCUUGAAACCAUAUACGUGGAUGAAGGGAACGGGGCUGACAAAAACAAUGCAUCCAGUUACUUAACUAAG